Long non-coding RNA from Brassica napus (rape), 5449 nucleotides. RefSeq lists it as uncharacterized. The transcript is spliced from 7 exons. The record is from RefSeq and is a predicted model, not a curated record. NCBI's taxonomy places the organism in Eukaryota, Viridiplantae, Streptophyta, Magnoliopsida, Brassicales, Brassicaceae.
GAUAUCUCUAAGUUUCUCUUAUCUCUCUGGGCUGUCUUUGUGUCUCUCUUCCUGAAAGUUUUAUCUUGUGUUGUGUUCUCUCUUAUUGUAGGCUAAGAAAUAGUAUUGCUGAACGUUCAUUAUUCUCUUGCUUAAACCCUUGGAAUCAUGAUAAAACUUUUUAAACGAUUCCUUGGGUAGAAAGCAAUCUGGAAAAUCUGGAAAUAUUGAAUUAAUACUCCCAACAUAUACACACAAAUACACGCAAGAAAAAAAACAUAUUUGUAAGCUGUUCAUAAAAUUUGGUGUUGCAUUUAUAUAUGAACAACAAGAUGUUUUUUUUUGUAUUUACCAAAGGGGAAAAUGAAGAAGGAAAUAGACUGUUCUUAAGUUCAUAAUGCUCAUUUACUGUUGUAGAAGUUUUAAAUAUUUUUUAUGAAGAAAAAGUGUGUGCAAAUGAGUUGGAAGGAUAUGAUCUUCUAACAUAUACACACUUACCAAAUAUAAACACCAUACAUUACUAUGAACUGAAAAACAAAAACAAAUAUGCAACCCAUGAAUAGGAAAUCAAUCAAUGUAAUGGUAUCCAAGAAAUGGAAACCAAAAAUUUCAAGCUAUCUUAAUUUUGUGUUGACAUAUUACUUUUUUUUUGUUAAAAAUAAGGUAAAUAAAAUUUUUAAUAUAUUAAAAUUUUGACAAAUCAAUAACAUGCUUAAUUACCAUCAUUUUUACAAUAUGAUUAGACUAUAUUUAGAAUCAUUUCAAUUAUGGAAUUAAUUUAUGUCAUAGCCCACCAAAAGACAAGAGCAUUAACACCUAAACCUAGACAGUAACCAUAAGAUAUGCUGAGGCAGAAAAAUUCGACAACAGCUCCACCAUCUACAACUACCGAAUUAUUAUUUUUUUGGGACAAACAAGCAGUGAAUGGAGAAUGCAUUGGAGAUCCAUCAUGAGUGAGGAAAGCCAAAACUCACCUCCGCAUGCAUUAAGUAGUACAGGCAGUGGUUCCACACGAAAGGUAAAACACAUCUAUAUAGACCAUAACAAAACAAAGUAAAUGUUGUUAAAAAGACAAAAGAAAAUAAAUAAGGUUAUGAAUCUAUAAAACAGACAAUCACAUAUUCACUACUAAAAAUAAAAGUGAACAUGCUAACCAGCAUACAACCACUAUGUUGCAAAUUUAACUAAACUCAUAUUUUAUUAACAGAUUAGAGCCAUCUCCAACACAUCACAUCAGUGGUGAAAUUAACCAACUAGAAGAUGGCAUCUCAAGCCCAACUCGAACCAUCAUCCCACAAUUUUCUAUUUAUGUCUAUAGGAUAUUUCAUGGUACACUCCUCUACACUCUACAAACUUCACGUAUAUUACUUUUAACUUUUUUUUUUAAAAAAAAAAUAACAAAAUGCUUGAUCGUUAGGUUUAGAAUGAAGUUAGGUUUAGAAUGAAGCUAAAAGAUUUUUAGAUUUCUUCAAGUUAGUCUUAUAUUAAAUGGUAUUUCUAAAGUUAAACUGUCUACAUGCUUUCUUAUGAUAUUUUUUUGCUUUUCUAAAUAAAAUCACAAACUCUUCAGAUUGAUGUGUUGUAAAUAUAGCUUUGGGGGCAAAGGAGACCAUCAACAAAACAUUAAUAAAGGGACAACAUGAUCUCUACCUACUUCUGAGGCUCAAAAAUUUGUAAAUUCUUUAUAACAAAUUUAUCAAAUGAUAUCAUAUAUUAUAUAAACUUAAAAGGAAAAUUAUAAAACCACAUUAUCCGCGCGUAGCGCGGACACGGACCUAUUAUAUUAUAUAUAAUGAGGCUCUUUCCUCUCUUCUCAGGGCAUCCACGUAUGCAAAACAUUAAUUUUGUGGGUCCCCAUUUAUUGUUCAGUUUUCGUUUUGAUUUGUUCGCACGGUUUGUUGAUUGGGCCAGUUAUGUUAGAUCUAAUUGUGAUUGUCGUCUGGGCUGACUUAGGCCAACCUUGCUUACAUUCACUCAUGCGCUAAACGUUAUGUUCCGUGAAUAUUCCAGAAUUAGGGCUUCGUCGUUGUUACCUUCCUCACAUAAUCAAACCGCCAUAUUCUGUUUUCUGAUCUUAAAAAAACCGUUCCUCUUCUCAUAUCUACACUUCACCUUCCCGUAUCUCUUGACCUCCCUUUAGGUUCGAUGUCUUGCUUUAAUUCACGAGUUAUUGUUACUCACAUCAAUCCCAGAUCUCGCCGCUUCCGUUUACUUCGCGUUCAAUCUAUAUAUAUCAGCUUCUCGAGAGGAUGAUUGCCCCUCGAAAUCUUUGUCAGUUUAUCAUUUUCUAAACUCUAGAAAGUUUGUCAGAUGUGGCUUCCUCUGAUGUUGUUCUCGCUCACUCCACCUUCGAUGCUCUCCGACUGGGUAGAUCUGCCCAGAUCAUUGUUGGUCGUCUCCUCCGUUUCGGGGACUCGAAAAAUAUCAAGAAGCAAGGUGAAUUCAUGGGCAUCACUCUCCUCUUCCUUGACGAGAAGAAUUCCGUCAUACAUGGAUUCAUUCCUGCCGGUCGCGCUCCUUAUUACCGUCCGUCCUUGCGAGUGGGUUCAGUUGUCAGAGUCUCCCGCUUUGAAGUUGCAAGAUGUAUAAAUAUGUACAAGAUUACGGAUCACCUCUGCCUCAGCUCAACCCCGGCGACUAGAGUUUUUUUUCAGCCCCGACCUUCCAGACACCAAACAAUUCAAAUUGAGCUUAAGUGGUCCAGGAGGUGAGCACUUCAACUGGUUGGACGACAACGCGGCAAUCAGUAACAAACAACUUUGCUCGGUUGGAGAUCUCAACAUGUUCCUCUCCAGCUCUACCACCCAGGAAGGUUUUAUCUACAAAGCCCGGAUUGUUGAGGUAUUGACCCAAAAUGGAUGGAACUAUCUCUCUUGCAUUCAUUGCAGCAAAGAAAUUGAGCAAUCUGGCGCAACUCUCCACUGCAACCGAUGCUUUAAUUCCAAUAUCACCGGUGUUGUGAGAAAUAUUGGUUGAUGAUGGGAAUAAUUAUGCCAUUGUUGUGGUGUUAAACAAGGAGAUGCUCAAACUCACUAAGCAAGACGCAGCUACUCUGUUUCUUAAUGAGGUCAAUAGUGGUGGCGACGGGAAACUCCCUCAAUGCAUUGAGGAACUUGAAGGGCAGACAUUUAUUUUUCAUAUACAUGUCUCGCCCAGCAAUUCUGUCUUGCCCAGCAAUUCUGCUUCUUCCCACUGCCCGUUCACAGUCUCUGCAAUCAGUGGGAAGAUUACUACAGAGGAUUUCAACAACAAUGAAACCCCAUAUGCUGUAAGGGAAUUCAGCGAAGCAUCCACUUCCGCUUCUCCCAUAAACACGUCAACUGUUGAAGUUGAACAAGGUGGACGCAAAGACGCACGUGAGUGAGUCUUUGAAGGAACCAAAACAUCAACCCAACUCUGCUUACCACUUCUUAGCUAUUUCAAUAUUACUAUGCAUUUACUCUUUCAGACUUUCUAAAUUUGCUCUUUUCUCAGUUUUUUUUCCAAAAAAAAAAAACAUUUCCUUCAUUGUAUCGCAUAUGAGGAUCACAAUUCUCAAGUUUAAUAGUUUGACACGGGUUGACGUCAUAUUUAUAAUAGUUGUUUCAAUUUUUAUAAAAAAAUGCCACAACCCAUGCAGUUUUAACGUAAAGUCCACAUAGUUCUCACAUUACAAUAUUACAUUCCUAUAAUAGCAGAUAUCACACGUUAUACAUGUCUAACUACUUAGCAUUACAAAAAAUCACUUCACUCUCCUUCUUCUUAUACUUCUCUUCACUCUUCUUCUUCUACAACACUCCACCUCCGUCAACAUUUCCGAACUACAACUGCUCAAGUGUUCACAACAUCCCCGCGCGAGCGCGGGGCUCCGCCCGUAAUGUAUUUCAAGGUUCUUGAAUUUGUAGUUUAGAAGACCAAGGAAAACGCCUAAUGAAACAAUCGAAUAUAUGAAGGGUAUCAAAAGAUCAUUAAGUAUUGUACAAAAAUGCCUUUGUUAUUUAAUUAUAACAUAUUUAAAAAAACAUAUUUUAAAUUAAUAUCAAUAAAAUACAACAUAAAAGAUAAAUAGAAUUGCAAUCAAAGCCACCGUUUAACAAUAGAGGGAGAUUAUAUUAUUGAUAAGGCAUUUCAAAUCUUAAAUAUUGUCAAGGAGCUUCCAUUGAUACACAUGAGUGAUUCGAUCUCCGCCAAAGCUAAACUCUUAAUUUGAUCUUCUGAGAAAUUUAAAUCUGAAAGAAAAGAAUCAAAUUUAAAUUAUAAGCAUUAGCAUUAUAAUGAAAUUUAAUUAGUAUUACUUAUCCAACUUUUUUUGGAUAAAAAAGGAUCUUACUUGUAUUAUCCAUUUUUUUCCUUUCGUUGCAUAAUAUAUCUGUUGAUAGUAUUUUCCAAGUAGUAUUCCAUAUGUUUUCUGGAGUUAUGGUAUUAUUUGAAAGCAACAUUGUACAAAACAGUUGACGAAGACACUUUGCUGAACACCAAAAACUUGCUUCACUUUGCUGAACACCAAAAACUUGCUUCUUUAAUAGCUUCGAUAUAUUCUUUAUCAUCGUCGAUCGGAACCUGCAGGGGUUUGAGUUUUUCCUCAACUGAAUAAGUAUUGGUCAAAAGAGAAGAAGAAUUUUUUUAGGUGUGUGAUAUCUUGCAUAUUUCUAUUGUUUUAUCCAUUCAUCCAUGUGCAUUUUGAUCAUAUAGAUUAGGAUUUAGCCAUGUUUAGGUUGCAUUUUGCAUACAUGAGUCCUUAUCAGGUAUUGGAGUACCACAUGGAGUUCUUGGAAACACUUGGAGGCAUUUGGAGCUCAAAAAAGAGUGUUUAGAGUGGUCAUUGGGCGAGCAAGGCAUGGGAGCGACUAGUCCGGAGCGACACCACCAAGUCGCUCUGAUCACCAGUCUGGAGCGACCUCACUAGAGCGACAGGAAAGAGUCGCUCGCGUAUUGAUCACCCGGAGACAACGGAUCCGGAGCGACCUCUCGCAGCGUCACAGCGAGGUCGCUCCCGAAUCAUGGAAUUUCAGAGAGUGAAAGAUGAACACGGAUGAAAGCUUUAAAGAUCUUUUCUGAAGCUCAAAAUUUGUGGAGACACUGGAAAUUGAGUUAGCUUUCCAAUGGAAGUGGUUUCAAGUCAUUUGGAGAUGUAUUGGAUAAGUUAUAAUCGAUUUACUACAGGUGUAUCAACCCUUACCGGGGACCACUGGAAAGUUGAUGGGAUUAACCAACUUCCCACUUUCUUCCACCCACUUUUCCUUUGCACGAUUUUUCCUACUUUUCUGUAUAAUAUUUGCUUUCUUUUUAUCCAAAGAGUGGGCAAGAAACAUGAGUAUUGUACUGGGUAAUAAAAAAAAAACUUGUCAAAACUCUCUCUCUUUGAAAUAUCAUUGUUCUUAGUGUUCUUGAGCUGUUCUUCAAUUGUUCAUCAUCUGUUCUUGAGUUCUAAUUUCGUUUUGCUUGUUUAAUCCUUGUUUAUCUUUAUUCUCUGUUGUAUUUACUUGAAUAU